GACCAACUAGUUACCCGGAGGGGGCCGAUGCGGUUCAUCCGAAGGAGGUCUCGCGAAGGGCCGAGCUACCGUGUGGAGCUGCAUUCUAUCCGGAAGGCCAGCCCAGGGGGCAUGCUUUCGCGCAGCGAAGCGCCCAGGCUGAGGCGCCUUAGGACGUUAGGUUUAGUUGCAAGCAUCCGGAAGGCCAGCCCAGCGGGUAUGCUGUCGCGCAGCGAAGCACCCAGGCUGAUUUGCCUUGGGCCGGCAGGUUUUGGUCGCAUGCAUCCGGAAGGCCAGCCCCAGCGGGUAUGCUGUCGCGCGGCGAAGCACCCAGGCUGAGUUGCCUUGGGCCGGUAGGUUUGGUCGCAUGCAUCCGGAAGGCCAGCCCCAGCGGGUAUGCUCUCGCGCGGCGAAGCACCCAGGCUGAGUUGCCUUGGGCCGGCAGGUUUUGAUCGCAUGCAUCCGGAAGGCCAGCCCCAGCGGGUAUGCUCUCGCGCG
This 477-nucleotide long non-coding RNA is filed under the name Volvox carteri. Its description in RNAcentral is "long non-coding RNA (VCAR_LNC001846)". The record is from RNAcentral. Lineage: Eukaryota; Viridiplantae; Chlorophyta; Chlorophyceae; Chlamydomonadales; Volvocaceae.